UACGACCGUACCGCAAACCGACACUGGUGCGCGAGAUGAGUAUUCUAAGGCGCUUGAGAGAACUCAGGAGAAGGAACUCGGCAAAUUGACACCGUAACUUCGGAAGAAGGUGUGCCCUAUUAGUGUGUAGUGAACAACGAAGCAUGAAUGGGUUGCAAAAAAUCGGUGGCUGCGACUGUUUAUUAAAAACACAGCACUCUGCAAACACGAAAGUGGACGUAUAGGGUGUGACGCCUGCCCGGUGCUGGAAGAUUAAAUGAUGGGGUGCAAGCUCUUGAUUGAAGUCCCAGUAAACGGCGGCCGUAACUAUAACGGUCCUAAGGUAGCGAAAUUCCUUGUCGGGUAAGUUCCGACCUGCACGAAUGGCGUAACGAUGGCCACACUGUCUCCUCCUGAGACUCAGCGAAGUUGAAAUGUUUGUGAUGAUGCAAUCUCCCCGCGGAAAGACGGAAAGACCCCAUGAACCUUUACUGUAGCUUUGUAUUGGACUUUGAACAGAUCUGUGUAGGAUAGGUGGGAGGCUUUGAAGCAGGGUCGCUAGAUCUUGCGGAGCCAACGUUGAAAUACCACCCUGGUGUGUUUGAGGUUCUAACCUAGGUCCAUUAUCUGGAUCGGGGACAGUGCAUGGUAGGCAGUUUGACUGGGGCGGUCUCCUCCCAAAGCGUAACGGAGGAGUUCGAAGGUACGCUAGUUACGGUCGGACAUCGUGACGAUGGUGCAAUGGCAUAAGCGUGCUUAACUGCGAGACUGACAAGUCGAGCAGAUGCGAAAGCAGGACAUAGUGAUCCGGUGGUUCUGUAUGGAAGGGCCAUCGCUCAACGGAUAAAAGGUACUCUGGGGAUAACAGGCUGAUACCGCCCAAGAGUUCAUAUCGACGGCGGUGUUUGGCACCUCGAUGUCGGCUCAUCUCAUCCUGGGGCUGUAGCCGGUCCCAAGGGUAUGGCUGUUCGCCAUUUAAAGAGGUACGUGAGCUGGGUUUAAAACGUCGUGAGACAGUUUGGUCCCUAUCUUCCGUGGGCGCUGCAGAUUUGAGGAAGCCUGCUCCUAGUACGAGAGGACCGGAGUGGACACACCUCUGGUGUAUCGGUUGUCACGCCAGUGGCAUUGCCGAGUAGCUAAGUGUGGAAGAGAUAACCGCUGAAAGCAUCUAAGCGGGAGACUCGUUUCAAGAUGAGAUCUGCCGGGGCCUUGAGCCCCCUAAAGAGUCGUUCAAGACCAGGACGUUGAUAGGUCAGGUGUGGAA
Molecule: ribosomal RNA, 1243 nt
Filed under: metagenome
Description: bacterial LSU rRNA
Rfam family: Bacterial large subunit ribosomal RNA
Source: RNAcentral